GUGCUUGCUUUGGCAGUACAUAUACUGAAAUUGAACCAAUAUAAAGAUUAGCAUGAUUCCUGUGCAAAGAUGGCACGCAAAUUCAUGAAGCAUCCCAUAUUAAA
This is a small nuclear RNA of Talpa occidentalis (Iberian mole), 104 nucleotides long. The record is from RefSeq and is a predicted model, not a curated record. NCBI's taxonomy places the organism in Eukaryota, Metazoa, Chordata, Mammalia, Eulipotyphla, Talpidae.